This 104-nucleotide small nucleolar RNA is filed under the name Dasypus novemcinctus (nine-banded armadillo). RNAcentral's name for it is "Small nucleolar RNA U13 (ENSDNOG00000043217.1)". It matches the Rfam family "Small nucleolar RNA U13". Lineage: Eukaryota; Metazoa; Chordata; Mammalia; Cingulata; Dasypodidae. The record is from RNAcentral.
AUCCUUUUGUGGUUCAUAAGCACGAUGAAUGGGAGUUCACGUGCUCUUGUGAGAUGUGCCUCCCUCCAACCUUGUUAUGACAUCAGCACAUUACCCAUCUGACA